Molecule: ribosomal RNA, 132 nt
Filed under: Halomonas sp.
Lineage: Bacteria; Pseudomonadati; Pseudomonadota; Gammaproteobacteria; Oceanospirillales; Halomonadaceae
Description: partial 16S ribosomal RNA
Rfam family: Bacterial small subunit ribosomal RNA
Source: RNAcentral
AAACUGAAGAGUUUGAUCAUGGCUCAGAUUGAACGCUGGCGGCAGGCNUAACACAUGCAAGUCGAGCGGUAACANNUCUAGCUUGCUAGANGNUGACGAGCGGCGGACGGGUGAGUAAUGCUUGGGAAUAUG